UGGCUCAGAUUGAACGCUGGCGGCAGGCCUAACACAUGCAAGUCGAGCGGAAACGAGUUAUCUGAACCUUCGGGGAACGAUAACGGCGUCGAGCGGCGGACGGGUGAGUAAUGCCUAGGAAAUUGCCCUGAUGUGGGGGAUAACCAUUGGAAACGAUGGCUAAUACCGCAUGAUGCCUACGGGCCAAAGAGGGGGACCUUCGGGCCUCUCGCGUCAGGAUAUGCCUAGGUGGGAUUAGCUAGUUGGUGAGGUAAGGGCUCACCAAGGCGACGAUCCCUAGCUGGUCUGAGAGGAUGAUCAGCCACACUGGAACUGAGACACGGUCCAGACUCCUACGGGAGGCAGCAGUGGGGAAUAUUGCACAAUGGGCGCAAGCCUGAUGCAGCCAUGCCGCGUGUGUGAAGAAGGCCUUCGGGUUGUAAAGCACUUUCAGUCGUGAGGAAGGUAGUGUAGUUAAUAGCUGCAUUAUUUGACGUUAGCGACAGAAGAAGCACCGGCUAACUCCGUGCCAGCAGCCGCGGUAAUACGGAGGGUGCGAGCGUUAAUCGGAAUUACUGGGCGUAAAGCGCAUGCAGGUGGUUUGUUAAGUCAGAUGUGAAAGCCCGGGGCUCAACCUCGGAAUAGCAUUUGAAACUGGCAGACUAGAGUACUGUAGAGGGGGGUAGAAUUUCAGGUGUAGCGGUGAAAUGCGUAGAGAUCUGAAGGAAUACCGGUGGCGAAGGCGGCCCCCUGGACAGAUACUGACACUCAGAUGCGAAAGCGUGGGGAGCAAACAGGAUUAGAUACCCUGGUAGUCCACGCCGUAAACGAUGUCUACUUGGAGGUUGUGGCCUUGAGCCGUGGCUUUCGGAGCUAACGCGUUAAGUAGACCGCCUGGGGAGUACGGUCGCAAGAUUAAAACUCAAAUGAAUUGACGGGGGCCCGCACAAGCGGUGGAGCAUGUGGUUUAAUUCGAUGCAACGCGAAGAACCUUACCUACUCUUGACAUCCAGAGAACUUUCCAGAGAUGGAUUGGUGCCUUCGGGAACUCUGAGACAGGUGCUGCAUGGCUGUCGUCAGCUCGUGUUGUGAAAUGUUGGGUUAAGUCCCGCAACGAGCGCAACCCUUAUCCUUGUUUGCCAGCGAGUAAUGUCGGGAACUCCAGGGAGACUGCCGGUGAUAAACCGGAGGAAGGUGGGGACGACGUCAAGUCAUCAUGGCCCUUACGAGUAGGGCUACACACGUGCUACAAUGGCGCAUACAGAGGGCGGCCAACUUGCGAAAGUGAGCGAAUCCCAAAAAGUGCGUCGUAGUCCGGAUUGGAGUCUGCAACUCGACUCCAUGAAGUCGGAAUCGCUAGUAAUCGUGGAUCAGAAUGCCACGGUGAAUACGUUCCCGGGCCUUGUACACACCGCCCGUCACACCAUGGGAGUGGGCUGCAAAAGAAGUAGGUAGUUUAACCUUCGGGGGGACGCUUACCACUU
Molecule: ribosomal RNA, 1463 nt
Filed under: Vibrio alginolyticus
Lineage: Bacteria; Pseudomonadati; Pseudomonadota; Gammaproteobacteria; Vibrionales; Vibrionaceae
Description: bacterial SSU rRNA
Rfam family: Bacterial small subunit ribosomal RNA
Source: RNAcentral